GAUGAACGCUGGCGGCGUGCUUAACACAUGCAAGUCGAGCGAAGCACUUAUCAUUGACUCUUCGGAGGAUUUGAUAUUUGACUGAGCGGCGGACGGGUGAGUAACGCGUGGGUAACCUGCCUCAUACAGGGGAAUAACAGUUAGAAAUGGCUGCUAAUGCCGCAUAAGCGCACAGGACCGCAUGGUCUGGUGUGAAAAACUGAGGUGGUAUGAGAUGGACCCGCGUCUGAUUAGGUAGUUGGUGGGGUAACGGCCUACCAAGCCGACGAUCAGUAGCCGGCCUGAGAGGGUGAACGGCCACAUUGGGACUGAGACACGGCCCAGACUCCUACGGGAGGCAGCAGUGGGGAAUAUUGCACAAUGGGGGAAACCCUGAUGCAGCGACGCCGCGUGAAGGAAGAAGUAUCUCGGUAUGUAAACUUCUAUCAGCAGGGAAGAAAAUGACG
Molecule: ribosomal RNA, 446 nt
Filed under: uncultured bacterium
Lineage: Bacteria
Description: bacterial SSU rRNA
Rfam family: Bacterial small subunit ribosomal RNA
Source: RNAcentral